AUUGAACGCUGGCGGCAGGCUUAACACAUGCAAGUCGAGCGGGGUGAUGGUGCUUGCACUAUCACUUAGCGGCGGACGGGUGAGUAAUGCUUAGGAAUCUGCCUAUUAGUGGGGGACAACAUCUCGAAAGGGAUGCUAAUACCGCAUACGUCCUACGGGAGAAAGCAGGGGAUCACUUGUGACCUUGCGCUAAUAGAUGAGCCUAAGUCGGAUUAGCUAGUUGGUGGGGUAAAGGCCUACCAAGGGGACGAUCGGUAGCGGGUCUGAGAGGAUGAUCCGCCCCACUGGGACUGGGACACGGCCCAGACUCCUACGGGAGGCAGCAGUGGGGAAUAUUGGACAAUGGGGGGAACCCUGAUCCAGCCAUGCCGCGUGUGUGAAGAAGGCCUUAUGGUUGUAAAGCACUUUAAGCGAGGAGGAGGCUCUUUUGGUUAAUACCCAAGAUGAGUGGACGUUACUCGCAGAAUAAGCACCGGCUAACUCUGUGCCAGCCGCCGCCGUAA
RNAcentral lists this ribosomal RNA (503 nucleotides) under uncultured bacterium. Its description in RNAcentral is "partial 16S ribosomal RNA". It matches the Rfam family "Bacterial small subunit ribosomal RNA", at positions 30 to 523 of the family's 1533-position model. The record is from RNAcentral.